GGGGGAUAAAGUACGUUUUGUAUGAGUAAGUGAUGGAAAAAAAUAUAUGCUCUAGCUAGGACAAGCCAAAUCUAGAAGAAAAUCAAGCCAUAAGAUAAUGGAUGAAGAUUGCGGAAUUUGGUGGUGGUGAAGGUGUUGAUAGCUCAUGGUUUUCAUGAGUUUCAAUGGUGAUGUAAGGUAUCUUUGGUGGUUCUCUAAGAGAGGUUGGGCCAACUCUUGGAGGAAGGUGGCUAGAGGAGGCCAUUUGGGUUGCUCUAGCCUAGGGUGACCUUAAAAGAGUAGUAUGGCACAAAAAUGGCAGCAUAACUUUACUCUAAAUCAAAGGUGAUUACAUGAUGGAGAAC
RNAcentral lists this long non-coding RNA (344 nucleotides) under Vigna radiata. RNAcentral's name for it is "long non-coding RNA (VRAD_LNC008100)". The record is from RNAcentral. Lineage: Eukaryota; Viridiplantae; Streptophyta; Magnoliopsida; Fabales; Fabaceae.